This 613-nucleotide ribosomal RNA is filed under the name uncultured bacterium. RNAcentral describes it as "bacterial SSU rRNA". The stretch from base 1 to 516 matches the Rfam family "Bacterial small subunit ribosomal RNA", at positions 338 to 873 of the family's 1533-position model. The record is from RNAcentral.
CCUACGGGAGGCAGCAGUGGGGAAUCUUGCGCAAUGGGCGAAAGCCUGACGCAGCCAUGCCGCGUGAAUGAUGAAGGUCUUAGGAUUGUAAAAUUCUUUCAGUAGGGACGAUAAUGACGGUACCUACAGAAGAAGCCCCGGCUAACUUCGUGCCAGCAGCCGCGGUAAUACGAAGGGGGCUAGCGUUGCUCGGAAUUACUGGGCGUAAAGGGAGCGUAGGCGGGUUAUCAAGUUGGAGGUGAAAGCCCAGGGCUCAACCUUGGAAUUGCCUUCAAAACUGAUAGCCUAGAGUAUGAUAGAGGUAUGUGGAACUCCGAGUGUAGAGGUGAAAUUCGUAGAUAUUCGGAAGAACACCAGUGGCGAAGGCGACAUACUGGGUCAUGACUGACGCUGAGGCUCGAAAGCGUGGGGAGCAAACAGGAUUAGAUACCCUGGUAGUCCACGCUGUAAACGAUGAUUGCUAGUUGUCGGACGGCAUGCGUCGGUGCGCNGCUACGACAUAAGUACGAUACCGCCGUCGGGGAGGUACGGUCGGCGAAGAAGUUAAAACGUUAAAGGUUAAAGUUAGUACGGACGUUGAGACGUUGCCGACGGACGACGACGAGGGAGGAGG